RNAcentral lists this RNase P RNA (301 nucleotides) under Candidatus Woesearchaeota archaeon. RNAcentral's name for it is "RNase P RNA component". It matches the Rfam family "Archaeal RNase P". Rfam says of the family: Ribonuclease P (RNase P) is a ubiquitous endoribonuclease, found in archaea, bacteria and eukarya as well as chloroplasts and mitochondria. Its best characterised activity is the generation of mature 5'-ends of tRNAs by cleaving the 5'-leader elements of precursor-tRNAs. Cellular RNase Ps are ribonucleoproteins. Lineage: Archaea; Nanobdellati; Candidatus Woesearchaeota. The record is from RNAcentral.
GGUAGGACCAAGCCUGACCAACGGUUCAUUUGAACUGAGGAAAGUCCGCCCACCUAAAAAGACCACUUACCUUAAGCUCUUGAAAGAGAGGGCAACUGCACAGAAACGGCACUUCCUUUGUCCGGUAUGAUGCCUUGAAUCUUCUGGCAACAGAAGCGAGAUAACAGGUUGACUUUGUUCAAAGGGAAAGUUGAAACGGCAGUCCUGGUUGGUGCAAGUCAUUUUUGACGCUUAGUAAAAUGUCAGGAAUCUCUGUUCCUUUAAGGGAAGGGAAACAAAAGGCGGCUUACUUGGUUCUACC